This 230-nucleotide long non-coding RNA is filed under the name Arabidopsis lyrata. Its description in RNAcentral is "long non-coding RNA (ALYR_LNC001296)". Lineage: Eukaryota; Viridiplantae; Streptophyta; Magnoliopsida; Brassicales; Brassicaceae. The record is from RNAcentral.
UUCCAAGGUAGGGUUUCUUCUCAAUUUGUUUUCUGAAUAAAAACUAAAUAAAAAAUACUCUACAGCCCAAAACUUAUGUCUGUGGCUUUUGACGUUUCUACAGCCCAAAAAAAGGAAAAAAGUGAAAAGUGGUUGUAGACUUUAAAAAUAAAUGUAAAGCAUGAUUGCUGUGGACAUGUGGCUGUAGAGAAAAAUAUGGCUGUGGAAAGAUUCUAAAGCCACAACCAAUC